Non-coding RNA from Boeremia exigua, 88 nucleotides. The record is from the annotation of a RefSeq genome assembly. NCBI's taxonomy places the organism in Eukaryota, Fungi, Ascomycota, Dothideomycetes, Pleosporales, Didymellaceae.
GUCUCCGUGGCGCAAUGGUAGCGCGUUGGACUUCUACCACCUCUGAGCGGUCAUCCAAAGGCUGCGGGUUCGAGCCCCGCCGGAGAUG